GGGCCCGCACAAGCGGUGGAGCAUGUGGUUUAAUUCGAUGCUACGCGAAGGACCUUACCUGGGUUUGACAUGCUAGUAGUAAAAGCCGGAAACGGCAAUGAUCCCAGUUUACUGGGAAGCUAGCACAGGUGCUGCAUGGCUGUCGUCAGCUCGUGUCGUGAGAUGUUGGGUUAAGUCCCGCAACGAGCGCAACCCUCAUUGCUAGUUGAUACCAUUAAGUUGAUCACUCUAGCGAAACUGCCUCGGAUAACGGGGAGGAAGGUGGGGAUGAGGUCAAGUCAUCAUGGCCCUUAUGCCCAGGGCAACACACGUGCUACAAUGCUGCGUACAAAGGGAAGCAAUACCGCAAGGUGGAGCAAAUCUCAAAAAGCGCAGCCUAAUUCGGAUUGCAGGCUGCAACUCGCCUGCAUGAAGCCGGAAUCGCUAGUAACUGCAGAUCAGACGCGCUGCGGUGAAUACGUUCUCGGGCCUU
This 472-nucleotide ribosomal RNA is filed under the name uncultured bacterium. RNAcentral's name for it is "bacterial SSU rRNA". It matches the Rfam family "Bacterial small subunit ribosomal RNA", at positions 917 to 1382 of the family's 1533-position model. The record is from RNAcentral.